RNAcentral lists this transfer RNA (46 nucleotides) under Brugia malayi. Its description in RNAcentral is "tRNA Bm14551". The record is from RNAcentral. Lineage: Eukaryota; Metazoa; Nematoda; Chromadorea; Rhabditida; Onchocercidae.
UUCUGGUAUCGUGAUCGAUGCGUGGGUUCGAAUCCCACUCCGUGCA